GUUGGUGAACCAGCGGAGGGAUCAUUACAGAGUUUAACGACUCCCAAACCACUGUGAACAUACCCGUACCGUUGCCUCGGCGGGCGGCCCCAGGGCGAGGCCGCAGCCUCCCCAGCGGAGGCGCCCGCCGCAGGUCGCAAAACUAUAACUAUAUUUAGUGGCAUCUCUGAGUAACUUCCAAACAAUCAAAACUUUCAACAACGGAUCUCUUGGUUCUG
Molecule: unclassified non-coding RNA, 218 nt
Filed under: rhizosphere metagenome
Description: partial ribosomal RNA internal transcribed spacer region
Source: RNAcentral